This 509-nucleotide ribosomal RNA is filed under the name Iberesia sp. CRBAMM000748. RNAcentral describes it as "partial 16S ribosomal RNA". It matches the Rfam family "Bacterial large subunit ribosomal RNA", at positions 1850 to 2716 of the family's 2925-position model. The record is from RNAcentral. Lineage: Eukaryota; Metazoa; Arthropoda; Arachnida; Araneae; Nemesiidae.
UAGUAAAGCCUGCUCAAUGUACAAUAAAUAGCCGCAGGACCUCUGUGCUAAGGUAGCAUAAUAAUUUGCCUUUUAAUUAAAGGCUAGAAUGAAAGGUAUCACAUAUUGAUAACUUUAUUAAUCUAAAAAUUUUAAAUWAACCUUUUAGUAAAARGGCUAAAAUAAAGUAGGAGGRCGACAAGACCCUGACAAACUUUACAUUAAUGUUGUGCUGGGGGGGCAAAAAAACACUAUCUUUUUUAUAAAUAAAAAACAGAAAAAUUCUAUUAUUCAUCCAAGUUACUGCAGGGAUAACAGCAUAAUUCUUUCCUAGAGAUCUCAUUGAAGAAAAAGAUUGUGACCUCGAUGUUGAAUUAGGUAUCUAUAAGGAGCAAAAUCUUUACAAGUAAGUCUGUUCGACUUUUAAUAACCUACAUGAUUUGAGUUCAGACCGGCGUGAGCCAGGUCGGUUUCUAUCCCCUUUACAAAAUCCUUAGUACGAAAGGACCAGAAUUUUAAUUAUUAAUUUC